This 305-nucleotide ribosomal RNA is filed under the name uncultured bacterium. RNAcentral's name for it is "partial 16S ribosomal RNA". It matches the Rfam family "Bacterial small subunit ribosomal RNA", at positions 505 to 807 of the family's 1533-position model. The record is from RNAcentral.
ACAGCAGUAGCCACGGUAACACGAAGGGGGCUAGCGUUGCUCGGAAUUACUGGGCGUAAAGGGAGCGUAGGCGGAUCGUUAAGUUGGGGGUGAAAGCCCGGGGCUCAACCUCGGAAUUGCCUUCAAUACUGGCUAUCUUGAGUAUGGAAGAGGUAUGUGGAACUCCGAGUGUAGAGGUGAAAUUCGUAGAUAUUCGGAAGAACACCAGUGGCGAAGGCGACAUACUGGUCCAUUACUGACGCUGAGGCUCGAAAGCGUGGGGAGCAAACAGGAUUAGAUACCCCGGUAGUCCCUGUCUCUUAUAC